AUGCAAAUGGAGGUCAUAUACCUCGGCGUAGCUCUUGUGUCCAUGUCAAUUGUGCUUUUUGUUGCUAGGUGCAGCCGCAAGGCGAACGAGCCGCCCGGGCCGUGGCAGCUGCCUCUGAUUGGCAGCCUGCACCACCUCGCCCUCUCCAGGCAGCUUCCCCACCACGCGAUUUGUGAACUAGCGCGGCGCCAUGGGCCGGUGAUGCUCCUCCGGCUCGGCGAGGUGCCCACGCUUGUGGUGUCGUCCAGGGAGGGUGCCCGCGAGCUGAUGAAGACCCACGACCUGGCGUUCGCCACGCGGCCCCUGAACGCCACCAUGCGCGUGCUCACCGACGGCGGCCGGGACAUUGUGUUCGCGCCAUACGGCGAGUACUGGCGCCAGCUCAGGAAGAUCGCCGUCUCUGAGCUGCUUUCGGCAUCACGCGUCCUGUCUUUCCGCGCUGUCCGCAAGGAGGAGGUCGCCUCCAUGCUCCGCGAUGUCGCCCAAGCUGCGGCGGCUGGGCGCCUUGUGGAGCUGCGCGCGCGCGUCUCGGCGCUCGUCACCGACAUCACGGCCCGCACCGUCAUGGGUGACCGCCGGUUCAAGGAGCGUGCGGUGUUCCUUACCGCCCUCGAACGCUCUGCGAAGCUCUCAGCGGGGUUCAACCCACCAGACCUGUGGCCGCCGUCCAGACUUGUUGGCUGUCUCAGCGGGGCCGUGCGCCGCGCCAAGGAGUGCUCCAAUACCGGGAAUGGCGUCUUCAACGCCAUCAUCCGUGGGAGGACCAUGGGAGGCCAGAAGGAGCACAACUUGCUCGAUGGUCUUCUAAGCAUGCAGAAAGAGGGCAUGAUCGACCUGGACGCCGUUAAAUACGUCGUCUUGGAAGUAUUCAGCGUUGGUAAUGACACAACAGCGACGACACUGGAGUGGGCGAUCACAGAGCUGGUCAGGAACCCUGAAGUGAUGCGGAAGGCGACAGCCGAGGUCAGGCCCGUGGCGCCGUGGCAGAGCAUGCCCUCGGCAAGCUCCCCUACAUGCACCUCGUUAUCCGGGAGACACUGCGGCUGCACACGCCCGUGCCGCUGCUGCUCCCGCGGCAAUGUCAAGAGCCAUGCCAGGUGCUCGGUUACGACGUGCCGCAGGGCACGCAGGUGCUGGUGA
This 1140-nucleotide ribosomal RNA is filed under the name Triticum aestivum (bread wheat). Its description in RNAcentral is "partial small subunit ribosomal RNA". The record is from RNAcentral. Lineage: Eukaryota; Viridiplantae; Streptophyta; Magnoliopsida; Poales; Poaceae.